This 1365-nucleotide ribosomal RNA is filed under the name Triticum aestivum (bread wheat). RNAcentral's name for it is "partial small subunit ribosomal RNA". The record is from RNAcentral. Lineage: Eukaryota; Viridiplantae; Streptophyta; Magnoliopsida; Poales; Poaceae.
AUGGCGAAGCAGAAGCAGCAGCAGCAGCCCAAGCCCGCCGCCGACGCCGCGCCGCCGCCCCGGGAGUUCAAGACGGCGCACUCGCCCUGGUUCACCUACGCCUCCAUGGUCACGCUCUUCUCCCUCUGUCCGCCAUUCGUCAUCCUCCUGUGGUACACGGUUGUGCACGCGGACGGAUCGGUGGCGCGCACCUACGAGCACCUCCGCGACCACGGGAUCCUGGAGGGGCUCAAGGCCAUCUGGCCCAUGCCCACCGUGCUCGCCGGGAAGAUCAUCCUCGGCUUCGCUCUCUUCGAGGCCGCCCUGCAGCUGCUCCUUCCCGGGAAGCGCUUCGAGGGGCCCAUCUCGCCCGCCGGGAAUGUGCCCGUCUACAAGGCAAAUGGCUUACUAGCAUAUGCAGUGACUUUGGUCACCUACCUAAGCCUGUGGUGGUUUGGAAUAUUUAACCCUGCAAUAGUAUAUGAUCACCUGGGAGAGAUAUACUCGGCUCUGGUCUUUGGAAGCCUUGUGUUCUGUUUAUGCCUGUACAUAAAGGGUCAUGUAGCACCAUCUUCAUCUGAUUCUGGAUCCUCAGGGAAUGCGUUCAUUGAUUUCUACUGGGGAAUGGAACUGUAUCCUCGGAUUGGUAAGCAUUUCGAUAUCAAAGUCUUCACAAACUGCCGUUUUGGGAUGAUGUCCUGGGCUGUUCUUGCUGUCACCUACUGCAUAAAGCAGUAUGAAAUGAAUGGCCGAGUUGCAGACUCCAUGCUUGUGAAUACUGCACUGAUGUUGAUCUAUAUCACAAAGUUUUUCUGGUGGGAGUCUGGAUAUUGGUGUACUAUGGACAUUGCGCAUGAUAGAGCUGGUUUCUACAUUUGCUGGGGAUGCUUAGUAUGGGUUCCAUCAACUUACACCUCUCCUGGAAUGUACCUUGUCAAUCAUCCUGUGAAUUUGGGUCCCCAGCUAGCAAUCUCGAUUCUCCUCGCUGGAAUAUUGUGCAUAUACAUAAACUAUGACUGUGAUCGUCAGCGCCAAGAAUUUCGCCGGACAAAUGGGAAAGCCUCAGUCUGGGGAAAAGCCCCGUCAAAGAUUGUUGCUAACUAUCAGACCACAAAAGGAGAAACGAAAACCAGUCUUCUCUUGACUUCUGGAUGGUGGGGCUUUUCUCGUCACUUUCACUAUGUCCCAGAGAUACUGGCAGCAUUUUUCUGGAGCGUUCCAGCUCUUUUUGAUCAUUUUCUGCCAUACUUCUAUGUGCUACAUCUAACCAUUCUACUGCUUGACCGAGCAAAGAGGGAUGAUGACAGAUGCUCAACAAAGUACGGCAAGUACUGGAAGAUGUACUGCAACAGAGUACCGUACAGGGUUGUUCCUGGUAUUUACUGA